GGUUAAAUUACACUCAGCGAUUUAAUUUUUCACUUUAUAUUAUAUCGUUAUUUAUUUUUUAACCUAUAUAAAAAUUCAUUUUAUAUCUUUUAAAUUUUUUCUUUUUUUAAUUUUAAGCAAAAUUAAAAAAGAAAUAUUUAAAGAUAUAUAUUUGAUUUUUUCCUUCAUAUUCCCGGUAUUUUCAACGCCUUUAGGCAGCUUCUUGUUAAGUAGUGUUGAUUUUGCCGUAACAAAACGGAGGAAAACA
Non-coding RNA from Plasmodium relictum, 247 nucleotides. The record is from RefSeq and is a predicted model, not a curated record. Lineage: Eukaryota; Apicomplexa; Aconoidasida; Haemosporida; Plasmodiidae.